AAAGGUAAGCCGGAGAGGGUGACAGCCCCGUACGAGUAGAAAAGCUGACUGUUCUUGAGUAAGGCGGAGCACGAGAAAUUCUGUCUGAAAAUGGGGAGACCACUCUCCAAGGCUAAGUACUACUGAUUGACCGAUAGUGAACAAGUACCGUGAGGGAAAGGUGAAAAGCACCCCUAUAAGGGGAGUGAAAGAGAACCUGAAACCGGAUGCCUACAAGCAGUCGGAGGGUCAUAAGGCCUGACGGCGUACCUUUUGUAUAAUGGGUCAGCGACUUAAUUUAUGUAGCAAGCUUAAGCCGAUAGGUGUAGGCGUAGAGAAAUCGAGUGUUAACAGCGCGUUAAGUUACAUGAAUUAGACCCGAAACCGAGUGAUCUAGCCAUGAUCAGGUUGAAGGUUGGGUAACACCAACUGGAGGACCGAACCCACUCCCGUUGAAAAGGUAGGGGAUGAAUUGUGGCUAGGGGUGAAAGGCCAAUCAAACUCGGAAAUAGCUGGUUCUCCGCGAAAACUAUUUAGGUAGUGCGGUGAGCGGACACCUUGAGGGGUAGAGCACUGGAAGAGCUAAGGGGGAGCGAUCCUUACUAAACUUUACCAAACUCCGAAUACUCAAGAGUGAUACUCACCAGACAGACAUUAGGUGCUAAGGUCUAGUGUCGAGAGGGAAAGAGCCCAGACCGCCAAUUAAGGUCCCAAAAUUAUGGCUAAGUGGUAAAGGAAGUGAAACGUCCAAAACAGUCAGGAGGUUGGCUUAGAAGCAGCCAUCCUUUAAAGAAAGCGUAAUAGCUCACUGAUCUAAAUAAGACGUCUUGCGCCGAAGAUGUAACGGGGCUAAAGCCAUAUACCGAAGUUGCGGAUUUACACGUUAAAGUGUAAGUGGUAGCGGAGCGUUCUGUAAGCCUGCGAAGGUGUACCGUAAGGUAUGCUGGAGGUAUCAGAAGUGAGAAUGCUGACAUGAGUAGCGAAAAGAAGAGUGAGAGACUCUUCCGCUGAAAGUCCAAGGUUUCCUGCGUAAAGCUAAUCUGCGCAGGGUUAGUCGGUCCCUAAGGCGAGGCAGAGAUGCGUAGUCGAUGGCAAUCAGGUUAAUAUUCCUGAACCGGCCCGGAAGUGACGGAUUGAGUAAAUUGUAAGUUCUUAUUGGAUUGAGCUUGCAGUGAAUCAGUCCCAGGAAAUAGCCCGGGCUAAGACCGUACCCGAAACCGACACAGGUGGACAGGUAGAGAAUACCAAAGCGCUUGAGAGAACUAUGUUGAAGGAACUAGGCAAAAUACUUGCGUAACUUCGGGAUAAGCAAGCCCCAUUUUAAGGCAACUUAGGGUGGGGGGCACAUACUAGGGGGUAGCGACUGUUUACUAAAAACACAGGGCUCUGCUAAAUUGAAAGAUGAAGUAUAGGGUCUGACGCCUGCCCGGUGCUGGAAGGUUAAGGAGAGAUGUGCAAGCAUUGAACUGAAGCCCCAGUAAACGGCGGCCGUAACUAUAACGGUCCUAAGGUAGCGAAAUUCCUUGUCGGGUAAGUUCCGACCUGCACGAAUGGCGUAACGACUUCCCCGCUGUCUCCAACAUAGGCUCAGCGAAAUUGAACUCUGAGUUAAGAUGCUCAGUACCCGCGGUUAGACGGAGAGACCCCGUGAACCUUUACUAUAGCUUUGCAGUGGUAUUAGGUAACAAAUGUGUAGAAUAGGUGGGAUGCUAUGAAGCUACGACGCCAGUUGUAGUGGAGCAGACUUUGAAAUACCACCCUUUUGUUGUUUGAUAUCUAACCUGCUCCCGUUAUCCGGGAGAGGGACCCUGCAUGGUGGGUAGUUUGACUGGGGCGGUCGCCUCCCAAAGAGUAACGGAGGCGCGCAAAGGUUGGCUCAGAUUGGUCAGAAAUCAAUCGUUGAGUGCAAUGGCAUAAGCCAGCCUGACUGCGAGAGCGACGGUUCGAGCAGAUACGAAAGUAGGUCAUAGUGAUCCGGUGGUCCCGAGUGGAAGGGCCAUCGCUCAACGGAUAAAAGGUACUCCGGGGA
Molecule: ribosomal RNA, 2008 nt
Filed under: human gut metagenome
Description: bacterial LSU rRNA
Rfam family: Bacterial large subunit ribosomal RNA
Source: RNAcentral